This 750-nucleotide ribosomal RNA is filed under the name uncultured bacterium. Its description in RNAcentral is "bacterial SSU rRNA". It matches the Rfam family "Bacterial small subunit ribosomal RNA", at positions 55 to 786 of the family's 1533-position model. The record is from RNAcentral.
AUGCAGUCGUGCGAGAAGGGACUUCGGUCCUGAGUAGAGCGGCGCACNNNNNNAGUAACGCGUGGGUAAUCUCCCUUGGUGAUCGGGAUAACAGCGGGAAACUGCUGCUAAUACCGGAUAAUCUUCAUGUUUAACUUCAUGGGGUAAAGGUGGCCUCUGCUUGCAAGCUACCACACCGAGAUGAGCCCGCGUCUCAUUAGCUAGUUGGUAGGGUAAUGGCCUACCAAGGCUACGAUGAGUAGCUGGUCUGAGAGGAUGACCAGCCACACUGGGACUGGAACACGGCCCAGACUCCUACGGGAGGCAGCAGUGGGGAAUAUUGCGCAAUGGGCGAAAGCCUGACGCAGCGACGCCUCGUGAGGGAUGAAGGUCUUCGGAUCGUAAACCUCUGUCAAGAGGGAAGAAACCCUUGGAUUCGAAUAGGGUCCUUGGCUGACGGUACCUCAAAAGGAAGCACCGGCUAACUCCGUGCCAGCAGCCGCGGUAAUACGGAGGGUGCAAGCGUUAAUCGGAAUCACUGGGCGUAAAGCGCUCGUAGGCUGUUCGGUCAGUCAGAUGUGAAAGCCCUCGGCUUAACCGGGGAACUGCAUUUGAUACUGCCAGACUUGAGUGUCGGAGAGGGUGGCGGAAUUCCGGGUGUAGGAGUGAAAUCCGUAGAUAUCCGGAGGAACACCAGUGGCGAAGGCGGCCACCUGGACGACAACUGACGCUGAGGAGCGAAAGCGUGGGGAGCAAACAGGAUUAGAUACC